This 452-nucleotide long non-coding RNA is filed under the name Homo sapiens (human). RNAcentral's name for it is "non-protein coding lnc-ENTPD5-5:3". The record is from RNAcentral. Lineage: Eukaryota; Metazoa; Chordata; Mammalia; Primates; Hominidae.
GCGCAAGGGUGGCGCGCGCGCGUUUUCCUUGUUCCUGGUCAACAAAGAAAUGUGGAGUGUCUUGGCUGAAUCCUCAUACAGACAAGAUCAUUAUGGUGCUGUUAGGUAGGACUUGUAUCCAGAUGUAAGGUUGAAAAAGUGAUAUAAUAAAGGAACCAAGGAGAAAAUUCAGAAGGAAAGAAAAAAUUGGACUUUGAUUCUUAAUGAAUGGGCAAGAAAAGACCUUCUGGUUUGUGAAGAAAAAGAGGCAACAAUAGCAACAGCUUUCCUCCAAGUGAUUAUUGUAGCAAAGUCAAGCCUGAAACAAUGGAGAAUGAAGUUAUGCCUGACUCAUUUUGUUAUUACACCCAAAUGAGUUCAUUGUACAGAAUGGGCCUUUUUGACACGUGUCUAAUGAUAUUUUGAUGCAAAUGAAAUAAUACACAUAAAAAAUGACCUGUUUACAGGAAAGA